CCUACGGGGGGCUGCAGUGGGGAAUAUUGGACAAUGGGGGCAACCCUGAUCCAGCCAUGCCGCGUGUGUGAAGAAGGCCCUCGGGUUGUAAAGCACUUUCAGUGAGGAAGAACGCCUGGUGGUUAAUACCCAUCAGGAAAGACAUCACUCACAGAAGAAGCACCGGCUAACUCCGUGCCAGCAGCCGCGGUAAUACGGAAGGUGCGAGCGUUAAUCGGAAUUACUGGGCGUAAAGCGCGCGUAGGUGGCUUGAUAAGCCGGUUGUGAAAGCCCCGGGCUCAACCUGGGAACGGCAUCCGGAACUGUCAAGCUAGAGUGCAGGAGAGGAAGGUAGAAUUCCCGGUGUAGCGGUGAAAUGCGUAGAGAUCGGGAGGAAUACCAGUGGCGAAGGCGGCCUUCUGGACUGACACUGACACUGAGGUGCGAAAGCGUGGGUAGCAAACAGGAUUAGAUACCCUGGUAGUC
RNAcentral lists this ribosomal RNA (465 nucleotides) under Vreelandella stevensii. RNAcentral's name for it is "partial 16S ribosomal RNA". It matches the Rfam family "Bacterial small subunit ribosomal RNA", at positions 338 to 795 of the family's 1533-position model. The record is from RNAcentral. Lineage: Bacteria; Pseudomonadati; Pseudomonadota; Gammaproteobacteria; Oceanospirillales; Halomonadaceae.